AUGGGCUUGGGGGUGAGGCGGCUGGGAAGAGCUUGUCUGUUUCACCAAGAAGUAAGUGUGAAUGUGGGGAGAUGGGGGUGGAGGAGAGCACUGGGGUUGCCUAGCAACAGAGAUGAAGCUGACAGACAGGAUCCAGACCACUGCUGUCCAGGGUCUGGGGGGUUUCAAGAAACGGGGGCGCUGAUAUUUGGGAUCUUGUGUUUCUCUGGCCGAGAAGGUAUCCCCACCAUGGCCCUCCAAACUUCAGCAGAGUUGACUCCAGACUUGGGGGUCUUAGGGACCCCGGAGCCUAGAACAGAGAUUCAGUGGUAGCCGGAGAUUCAUUUACUGGGGAAUGAAGCAGUAGAGACAAAAGCAGACUCGGCCCCCUUUCCAGCCCCGGCCCUGCCAGUUGCAGAGAUGUUGAUGGCUAAGAAGAACCGGAUUACACGGAGACCUUUUUCUGAGACUGAGUUUCACUUUUUUUUUUUUUUUUUUUUUCUUUGAGACGGAGUCUUACUCUCGUCGCCCAGGCUGAGUGCAGUACCGGAUCUCAGCUCACUUCGCAAGCCCUCCGGUUUACGCCAUUCUCCUGCCCCCAGCCUCCCGAGUAGCUGGGACCACAGGCUUCACCACCUCACCGCUAGUUUUUGUAUUUUUAGUAGAGACGGCUUCACUGUGUUAGCCAGGAUGGUCUCGAUCUCCUGAUCUUCGUGAUCCCACUGCCUCGCCUCCCAAAGUGCUGGGAUUACAGGCUUGAGCCAUCACCGCCCUCUGAGUUUCACUCUUGUCAGCCAGGCUGGAAUGCAAUAGCAUGGUUUUGGCUCACUGAAACCUCUGCCUCCUGGGUUCAAGUGAUUCUCCAGCCUCAGCCUCCUGGAGUAGCUGGGAUUACAGGCACACGCCACCAUGCCUGGCUAAUUUUUUGUAUUUCUUAGUAGAGACAGGGUUUCACCAUGUUGGCCAGGCUGGUCUCUAACCCUGACUUCAAGUGAUCCUACCACCAGCCUCCCAAAGUGCUGGGAUUAGAUGUGAGCCACCACACCGUCUAUGAACUCCUCCUUAAGUGAGGGAGUCAUGGUGGCCAAGAAGGAUGCCCACCCGCCUAAGCAGCACCCAGAGCUGGCAGACAGGAAUGUGCCCAACCCACACAUCAUGAAGGCCAAACAGUCUCUCAAAUCACUUGGUGGGCCAUGUGAAGGGACCAGUUUGCUUGGAGACAUUUUUUUUUUUUGAGAUGAGCCCCUGCCAGGCUC
This 1235-nucleotide long non-coding RNA is filed under the name Papio anubis (olive baboon). RNAcentral's name for it is "lncRNA (ENSPANG00000047244.1)". Lineage: Eukaryota; Metazoa; Chordata; Mammalia; Primates; Cercopithecidae. The record is from RNAcentral.